GGCCUCGCGUGAUGGAUACGUGCCCUGGGAUGACCGUGACCUAACUGGGAUGUAUUCGUACUGUCUGAUGGGGUC
This 75-nucleotide small nucleolar RNA is filed under the name Dipodomys ordii (Ord's kangaroo rat). RNAcentral's name for it is "Small nucleolar RNA ZL2". It matches the Rfam family "Small nucleolar RNA ZL2". From Rfam's summary of the family: Host gene TNPO2. Predicted target 28S@U4276, U4571. Previously described as SNORD41B. The record is from Rfam by way of RNAcentral. Lineage: Eukaryota; Metazoa; Chordata; Mammalia; Rodentia; Heteromyidae.